CUUCCAAUAUUAUUUCAAUUGUCAUGCAGAGUAAAAUAAAAUAAUAAAUACAAAAUACUCAUUAAGUCGGAAUAGCAUACACUUAUAAUAUAUUCUAAUUUCUAAUAUAAUAUUCUAUUAGAAGAAGUCUUUGUGUGAUAGUAAUUUUAGUAUUCAGUUCAUAGAUAACAUAUAAAAUUCAAUUGUAUCUUGUAUAGUACGGUACUACGGUAGAUUGUAGAGACUAUACUAGUAUACUACUAUAGAAACGUCGAGCACGAACGCUACAACGCGAGCAACAACUGUAUUUGAUUUAUAGAGGAGAAGUUAUUUAAAUUCACUAUUAUUUAAUAUUUUAGUAGAUUAUUAUAAAAUGGAUUUUGAAAAGGUAAAGGAAAAAACUUUUGAAGAUGCACAUAAAGGUAAUAUUGACCAAGUUAUGAAAGCAGUUGAAGAGCAUUUGAGGCUGUUAAAAGAAGUCGAUGUUAACAAUCGUUUGCUCCUUCAUUGGGCUGCACUUGGAGGCCAUGAUAGACUUGUACGAUAUCUUCUUGAAAAUGGUCAACCAGAAGAUUCUCGAGAUGAUAUGCAAACAACUCCUCUUAUAUUGGCAGCAUCAGGUGGCCGUAUUGAUAUAGUGAAAACUCUUAUAGAAUAUGGAGUAGAUAUUAACGCGAAAAAUCAAGAAGGUCAUUCUGCACUUCAAUAUGCAGCUUCAAAAGGAUGGACUGAAAUUGUCAGAUAUUUAGUAUCAAAAGGUGCUGAUGUUAAUAUAGCUGAUAAUAGAGGAGCAACACCAUUACAUAGAUGUGCAUCAAAAGGAAACACAGCCGUGUUAAAAAUGUUAUUGGAUUGUGAUGUACAUGUAGAUGCUAAAGACAGCUAUGGAAACACACCACUUCAUUUAGCUUGUGAAGAGGGACGUAUACAAGAAGCUGGAUUAUUGAUUAAAAGUGGAGCUGAUAGUACUCUCCUAAAUAAAGAAAAAUUAACACCUUUUGAUUUAGCACCAUCUGAUGUUCAAGGCAUUUUGAGAAAAAUCUAAAAUAUUAUAUUGUCUUGGAGACUUUGUGAGAUGUGUGGGAAACUUUCACUAAGGGCGUCAAGAGUUAAACGACGAUCAUCGCGAACUUUUUCUUCAACCUGCUGUAGAAGCUCAUCUGAAAUGACGGAUGGUCUUCCACACCUUUCUUCAAUAAUCUAACCCACUUGGUAACAUGCUGACGUGUCAUCACCUCGGAUCCAUAGGUUUCCACAAGCUGGCGAUGAAUACUGGCCGUGGAUUCGUUACGCAAAGGAAUCGAAUAACAGAGCGCAUCUCACACCUACGGUAGGUGGAGCGAUUGGAGGACUAACUGUUUGUCGCGUUUGGCUGCCGUGACGACAUUUCGUAACGGUCUGAGACAUUUGAUGAUUUGUUUUGAUCAUUAGAAAAUUCUCUACAUAAGAGUGGUGACAACUCUGAAAAACAAAAUUCCCUUCGUCCUACACAGCCCUUGCAACCUUACUUUCUGGACGUCCUUCGUAUAAGCUCAAUGCAUUAUCUAAAAAUAAUAGAUGUGCUAAUUUGAAAGUAAUUUGUGAAGAUCAAAACAAAUACAACACUAAUAAAUGUCUUUGAACUAUUAGCAUAUGUUUUUGAAUCUUGUAAAAUACCUAUUAAUUAUGAUACUACUUUAGUACUUACGUAAAUAUAAUUUUAAUUUGUAUAUGAUUAUUUGUAAUUAUGUGCAA
RNA transcript from Rhopalosiphum maidis (corn leaf aphid), 1713 nucleotides. It is a transcript of the gene named 26S proteasome non-ATPase regulatory subunit 10-like, with no coding region annotated. The transcript has 7 exons. Lineage: Eukaryota; Metazoa; Arthropoda; Insecta; Hemiptera; Aphididae. The record is from RefSeq and is a predicted model, not a curated record.